Molecule: ribosomal RNA, 427 nt
Filed under: uncultured bacterium
Lineage: Bacteria
Description: partial 16S ribosomal RNA
Rfam family: Bacterial small subunit ribosomal RNA
Source: RNAcentral
UGGGGAAUAUUGGACAAUGGGCGAAAGCCUGAUCCAGCCAUGCCGCGUGUGUGAAGAAGGUCUUCGGAUGGUAAAGCACUUUAAGUUGGGAGGAAGGGCAUUAACCUAAUACGGUAGUGUUUUGACGUUACCGACAGAAUAAGCACCGGCUAACUCUGUGCCAGCAGCCGCGGUCAUACAGAGGGUGCAAGCGUUAAUCGGAAUUACUGGGCGUAAAGCGCGCGUAGGUGGUUUGUUAAGUUGGAUGUGAAAUCCCCGGGCUCAACCUGGGAACUGCAUUCAAAACUGACUGACUAGAGUAUGGUAGAGGGUGGUGGAAUUUCCUGUGUAGCGGUGAAAUGCGUAGAUAUAGGAAGGAACACCAGUGGCGAAGGCGACCACCUGGACUAAUACUGACACUGAGGUGCGAAAGCGUGGGGAGCAAACA